Long non-coding RNA from Schistocerca nitens (vagrant locust), 3760 nucleotides. RefSeq lists it as uncharacterized. NCBI's taxonomy places the organism in Eukaryota, Metazoa, Arthropoda, Insecta, Orthoptera, Acrididae. The transcript has 3 exons. The record is from RefSeq and is a predicted model, not a curated record.
GGCAUACCCAAAGUUACAUCUACAUCUGACGAUGACUCUCCACCCAAGAUAACAUGCUACGUCCUCCCCAUCAAAAAGUCUUCAGUCCAGUCAAAGAUUUCACUUGAUAUGUAAUAUGAUCAUACUUUUGACAAUAAGCAUAGGUGCAGUACUGAGUCAAAUGCUUUUCAGAAAUUAUGAAACACUGCAUCUAUCUGGUUGCCCUGAUCCAAAGCUUUCAGGCAAGUUGGGUUUCACACACUCGAUGUUUUCAAAAUCCAUGCUAUUGGCAUUGAGAAGGUCAUUCUGUUCAAGAUACCUCAUUAUGUUUGAGCUCAGAAUAUGUUAUAAGAUUCUACAACAAAUCAGUGUCAAGUAUAUUGAACAGUGGUUUUGUGGGUCACUUCUACUACCCUCUUGAGGCUUCCCACUUGCCAUUCCAUCACUCAUUGUCAAAUGCAUGCAGUCUGCAACUGGCAGAGAAAAAAGCCAAGGGGACAUUGAGACAGCUUCAUAAGACACAAGGUAAGCAAAUCUCCUCCUGUUGAGCCAGGAAAAUUGCAAGAAGUUUGAUGGGCACUCUCAUUAACAGUUGACUGAUGUAGCCCUCCACAAGCAACAAUUUGCUAAGAACAACUUGUACUGUUGACAUGUCUGACACAGUAAUGUGUCACAGCAGGAACAUUCCACAUCUCAUUAUAAUUAGUUAAGUAUUUAGGAAGGGGAGGAUGCACAACAAGGCCUCCUCUUGUACAAAUCAUCCCUUAAACACACUGAAAUUCCCUGGCAGACCUCUUUGUUUGCUGUCUGACCAGGUGGUACAAAUUUCUCACAGACAAUGCCUUUGCAGCCAAAAUACACAUCUUGACCUCUGUCUAGUAAAUGCGCACUUUUCUGUAUGAGGAGACCCUUUGUCCAACCACUGUAACAAUUGUGUUCAUCAGUUGUUACAAUGGUCUUAAGGAAGUGAACAUUACCAUUUGCAGUAGCAAGCAGUUCCUAGCUGUUUAAACACAGAUCUGCUUCCUACUGUUAAUCAACAAAUGCAGAAUGAAUUUGUGCUGACAUGAUGAUCACAAGUUUUUCACUCAAAAUUUGAUGGCAUGAUCCUACACUGAUGCUCAGUCAUCUGCAGCUUCUUGAGCAGUUAAUUGAUGAUUUCUACAGAUUACACCACAAUCUUUCUGUCAUAAUCAUCAUCUGUUGACGUGGAAGGUUGUCCAGACCUGGGAUCCUCACUGAUCUUCAUUCCACCCUGUUCAAAAUGCUUACACCACUUAUAGUACUGUGCAACUCAUACCCUCCCCAUAUACACACACACUGAUGGCAGGGUGACAGCAGCAAAGCAGCCAGAAGCAUUUGCACCAUGUAUGAGGAUAAUUUCAUUGGACAGAGCAUUGCAAGAAAAUCAUUUUCUCAUUUUAAGGAUGGUUGUUUUGACAUUAAUGACCCUCCACAUUCAAGAAGACCUUUGGGGUUUGAUGAAAAUCAUUUAAAUGCAUUCAACCACAACUAUCCACAUCAGUGUACGGUACUCAAGAACCUGCAAAUGCAAUGAACUAUGAUCAUUCCAUUAUCAUGCAACAUUUGCAUGCAAUGGGGAAGGUUAAAAAAUCAGGUGUAUGUGUAAUGUAUGCUCUAAGCUAAAAUCACAAAAAGCAACAGGUGGCCAUGUGCACCUCUGCUUGCUUGUCAUCAUUUGGCUCAUGAACAACACCUUGCAGAUGCAAUCUAAGAACAAUGACCAGGAAGACUGCAUGAAAUGAUGUUACUCCACAAUAAUGCCUGCCUGCAUUCUACUAGACUGACAAAAAAUGCUACAUGGGAGGAACUUCCUUUCUGGAUGAAAAUGGGGACCAAAAAUGGCUGGAUGAGUACUUUGCCACAAAACCUUGUGAUUUCUACAGUCAUGGAAUUGAAAAGUUACCCCAGGAUUGGUAGACUGUUGUUGUGUGAUUCCAGUUAAGUCAAGAACAUCGUCAUCUAUGUCUACACUCCUCAACCCACCAUGAAGUGCAUGGCAGAGAGUACGCCCCUUUGUACCAGUUAUUAGGGGUUUUUCCUGUUCCAUUCAUGUAUGGGAUGUGGGAAGAAUGUCUGUUUAAAUGUCUCUGUGUGUGCUGUAGUUAAUCUAAUCUUGUCCUCAUGAUCCCAUGGGAGAGAUAUGGAGAGGGUUGCAGUAUAGUCCUAGAACCAUAAUUUAAAACUGCUCAUUGAAACAUUGCAAGUAGGCUUUCCAGAAUACGCUAUGUGUAUUGCCAAGAGGAUGGUUGGUUGGUUUGGGGUAGGGGACCAAACAACAUGCUCAUUGGUCCCAUUGGUUUAGAGAAGGAUAGCAAAGGAAGUCGGCCAUGCAGUUUCAAAGGAACCAUCCCAGCAUUUGCCUGAAGUGAUUUAGGAAAAUCACAGAAAACCUAAAUCAGGAUGGCUGGACUCAGCUUUGAAAUGUCAUCCUGAUGAAUGUGAGUCCAACAUGCUAACCACUGCACCACCUCGUUCAGUGUACCUUCAAGAGUGUGUCAGUUCAGUUUCUCCAGCAUCUUUGUGAUACUUUCCCAUGGUUCACACAAAACUGCAACCAUUCAUGCUGCCCUUUACUGUAUAUGUGCAAAAUGGUGCAUUAUACAUUCCAAGAGCAAGCUAAGAUGGUUUUCAUUUAUGGUCAAGUCAAGAGAGGGUUUGUCAUGCCACUUACCCUGGAGAAUACUUUUUACCCAUUUUUUGCCAUGUGUGAGGGCAUGAGUCCUUUCAGAGAGAUGAACUACACGGACAGCUGGUGGAUGUUUGUGCAUCAGCUUAGGAACAUAAUAUUGAUACCAACUCCAGUACAAACACCAUGCAUGUGGAUUGCCAGUCUGGAGUAAUCCAAAGAGCAGUCUUGUGCUUCCUGUGUGAAAAUGAUACUGUCUUGCAAUACAUGUAGGGAUAAAUGGUGGCAAAUUUUCCUCCACAAGAAAGAUUCUGUCACUAGCAAAUGUGACAGAUAACAAUCAAAAUGGAAUAUCUGUCAUAAGUUCCUUUCACUGCUGCAGUAACCUUUGGGAGGGAUGUCAUCUUAAACAUAACCAGUCAUCAUCCAUGUUCUACAGAAAAUCCCUGGAAAUGGUUAAACUGCCACAUCAUUAACAAUUUAGAAUCAGUGUUUGGAAAGGGAUUAUUGGUGACCAUCUACCAGAACAUUUGUUUCACCACAACACCUUAAAGGACAUUUGUAUAUGGAAUUCCUUCCUCUUUUCAUGGAGAAUGUGUCUUAGGCAAGGUAAAAUGGCUGAUGCAUGAUGGAGCACCACUCCACUUCCACAUCACCAUCUGUCAACACUUCAACAACACCCUCCCCAGGAUGAGGAAGUCAUGUGCCUGGCCACCCUGAUCACUGGAAUUAAACCCUUAUGAUUUUUAUUUAUAGAGGUAUCUAAAAAGUGUAGUGUACAUUGAACCAGUUGUGAAUGUGCAAACCCUUGAACAGUGUGUCCAUGUGGCCAGCAUCAGCAACCACAUAUAACAAUCAAAAGAGUGAGACAGUCCAUAAUGUGACAUGUGAAUGCUUCAGUUGCUUCCCAUGUGUGCAAUUUGAACAUGUUUUGUACCAUGGAAGAAAUUAAUACCAUGUUAUGUAUUGCAGCCCAAUGUGUUAACUUUGAACAUUUUCUGCACCAUGGAAGAAUUUAUUACCAUGUAAAGUACCAGUACUGAUAACUUUAUUGCUGACCUCUUUCUGGACAUACUACAUUGAUAUGAAUAUCUUUAUUCCAUUUGCUGUCAGAAAUCAUCUCAUGAAAUU